GAUGAACGCUGGCGGCGUGCCUAAUACAUGCAAGUCGAGCGAACGGACGAGAAGCUUGCUUCUCUGAUGUUAGCGGCGGACGGGUGAGUAACACGUGGAUAACCUACCUAUAAGACUGGGAUAACUUCGGGAAACCGGAGCUAAUACCGGAUAAUAUUUUGAACCGCAUGGUUCAAAAGUGAAAGACGGUCUUGCUGUCACUUUUGGUGGGAUCCGCGCUGCAUUAGCUAUUUGGUAAGUUAACGGCUUACCAAGGCAACGAUGCAUAGCCGACCUGAGAGGGUGAUCGGCCACACUGGAACUGAGACACGGUCCAGACUCCUACGGGAGGCAGCAGUAGGGAAUCUUCCGCAAUGGGCGAAAGCCUGACGGAGCAACGCCGCGUGAGUGAUGAAGGUCUUCGGAUCGUAAAACUCUGUUAUUAGGGAAGAACAUAUGUGUAAGUAACUGUGCACAUCUUGACGGUACCUAAUCAGAAAGCCACGGCUAACUACGUG
RNAcentral lists this ribosomal RNA (497 nucleotides) under uncultured bacterium. Its description in RNAcentral is "partial 16S ribosomal RNA". It matches the Rfam family "Bacterial small subunit ribosomal RNA", at positions 28 to 507 of the family's 1533-position model. The record is from RNAcentral.